RNAcentral lists this ribosomal RNA (406 nucleotides) under uncultured bacterium. RNAcentral describes it as "partial 16S ribosomal RNA". It matches the Rfam family "Bacterial small subunit ribosomal RNA", at positions 30 to 526 of the family's 1533-position model. The record is from RNAcentral.
AUUGAACGCUGGCGGCAGGCCUAACACAUGCAAGUCGAACGAGUGGCGGACGGGUGAGUACUGUCUGGAAAACUGCCCGAUGGAGGGGGAUAACUACUGGAACCGGUAGCUAAUACCGCAUACCAUCGGAUUUGCACAGAUGGGAUUAGCUUGUGGGUGAGGUAACGGCUCACCUAGGAGACGAUCCCUAGCUGGUCUGCGAGGAUGACCAGCCACAGUGGAACUGAUACACGGUCCAGACUCCUAUGGUAGGCAGCAGUUGGGAAUAUGGGACAAGGGGCGUAAGCCUGAGGCAGCAAUGCCGCGGGGAUGAAGAAGGCCUUCGGGUUGUAAAGUACUUUAAGCGGGGAGGCGUUACCCGUAGAAGAAGCCCCGGCUAACUCCGUGCCAGCAGCCGCGGUAAUUC